This 496-nucleotide ribosomal RNA is filed under the name uncultured bacterium. RNAcentral's name for it is "partial 16S ribosomal RNA". It matches the Rfam family "Bacterial small subunit ribosomal RNA", at positions 28 to 507 of the family's 1533-position model. The record is from RNAcentral.
GGUGAACGCUGGCGGCGUGCCUAAUACAUGCAAGUCGAGCGAACAGACGAGGAGCUUGCUCCUCUGACGUUAGCGGCGGACGGGUGAGUAACACGUGGAUAACCUACCUAUAAGACUGGGAUAACUUCGGGAAACCGGAGCUAUACCGGAUAAUUUAUUUAACCGCAUGGGUUAAUAGUUAAAAGCCGUUUUGCCUUUACUUAUAGAUUGAUCCGCGCCGCAUUAGCUAGUUGGUAAGGUAACGGCUUACCAAGGCAACGAUGCGUAGCCGACCUGAGAGGGUGACCGGCCACACUGGAACUGAGACACGGUCCAGACUCCUACGGGAGGCAGCAGUAGGGAAUCUUCCGCAAUGGGCGAAAGCUUGACGGAGCAACGCCGCGUGAGUGAUGAAGGUCUUCGGAUCGUAAAACUCUGUUAUUAGGGAAGAACAAAUGUGUAAGUAACUAUGCACGUCUUGACGGUACCUAAUCAGAAAGCCACGGCUAACUACGUG